RNAcentral lists this ribosomal RNA (497 nucleotides) under uncultured bacterium. RNAcentral describes it as "bacterial SSU rRNA". It matches the Rfam family "Bacterial small subunit ribosomal RNA", at positions 28 to 518 of the family's 1533-position model. The record is from RNAcentral.
GAUGAACGCUAGCGGCAGGCUUAACACAUGCAAGUCGAGGGGCAGCACGAUGUAGCAAUACAUUGGUGGCGACCGGCGCACGGGUGCGUAACACGUAUGGAACUUACCCUUUACUGGGAGAUAGCCCGGGGAAAUCCGGAUUAAUAUCCCAUAAUAAACGAAGUGGCAUCACUUUGUUUUGAAAGCUCCGGCGGUAAAGGAUGGCCAUGCGCACGAUUAGCUAGUAGGUGAGGUAACGGCUCACCUAGGCUACGAUCGUUAGGGGGCCUGAGAGGGUUAUCCCCCACACUGGUACUGAGACACGGACCAGACUCCUACGGGAGGCAGCAGUGAGGAAUAUUGCGCAAUGGAGGCAACUCUGACGCAGCCAUGCCGCGUGCAGGAAGAAGGCGCUACGCGUCGUAAACUGCUUUUAUCAGGGAAGAAACCCCCAGACGUGUCUGGGGUUGACGGUACCUGAGGAAUAAGCACCGGCUAACUUCGUGCCAGCAGCCGAC